CCUAACAAUAAUUCUACUACCUCAUGCAGGGAUCCUGUCUGAUCUCACAAGCUAAGCAUAGCCAGGCCAGAUUAGUAUUUCAACAGGAAACCUAACAUGGAACACACAGGAUGCUGUAGGGA
This is a ribosomal RNA of Chrysemys picta bellii (western painted turtle), 122 nucleotides long. NCBI's taxonomy places the organism in Eukaryota, Metazoa, Chordata, Testudines, Emydidae. The record is from Ensembl.